RNAcentral lists this ribosomal RNA (468 nucleotides) under uncultured bacterium. RNAcentral describes it as "partial 16S ribosomal RNA". It matches the Rfam family "Bacterial small subunit ribosomal RNA", at positions 28 to 507 of the family's 1533-position model. The record is from RNAcentral.
GACGAACGCUGGCGGCGUGCUUAACACAUGCAAGUCGAACGGAAAGGCCCUGCUUUUGUGGGGUGCUCGAGUGGCGAACGGGUGAGUAACACGUGAGUAACCUGCCCUUGACUUUGGAUAACUUCAGGAAAACGGGGGCAAUAACCGAAAGGAACUCCCUCUGCAUGGGGGGGGGUGGGAAGGUUUCGGGGGUUGGGGAUGGACUCCGGGCUUUUCAGCUGGUGGGUGGGGUAGUGGCUUACCAAGGCUUUGACGGGUAGCCGGCCUGAGAGGGUGACCGGCCACAUUGGGACUGAGAUACGGCCCAGACUCCUACGGGAGGCAGCAGUGGGGAAUAUUGCACAAUGGGCGGAAGCCUGAUGCAGCAACGCCGCGUGCGGGAUGACGGCCUUCGGGUUGUAAACCGCUUUCGCCUGUGACGAAGCGUGAGUGACGGUAAUGGGUAAAGAAGCACCGGCUAACUACGUG